Molecule: long non-coding RNA, 1076 nt
Filed under: Suricata suricatta (meerkat)
Lineage: Eukaryota; Metazoa; Chordata; Mammalia; Carnivora; Herpestidae
Description: lncRNA (ENSSSUG00005022762.1)
Source: RNAcentral
CUCCCUCCCGACAGCACCCCGGGACCCACACAUCCCUCAAACCUUCUCACUGCAUCUCACGUGUGGGUUUUGUCCAGUGCACGGCAGGCCCUUCGGCCCAUCCCUGUCCUACAAGAAGCUGGCAUUUCACGCACAGAAUCAAGUUGAGCGGAAAGUCAUCAGGGGGCCAUGGGGCCACGUCCCCCCAUGUCCUCCCUCCCUAUCUGAGCCUUCCUGCUCUGAGCACUCUGCCCAUGUUCUUCCUGGGGGUCGAGGUUUCUUUUCCCUCCACCCCGGCUCUGUGAGGACUCCGUGUUCCUUCCACGAGGCCCUGGUAGGACAGCCUGUGUUUCGGGCGCUUCCUUCUCAAUAGGCAGAAAGGAUGGCCAGGGGGGAGGGGCCUGACCGAUGGGACCACACUGGAGGAGGUGGGGGUCUGUUGCCACCCCUCACCUGCCCCGCAUCGCCCUCCACACCUCCCUCCCUGUGCUCAUCUCCCCAGUUACGGCAGAGUCUAUGCGGCCACUGACCCCUACCACCACACCAUCGGCCCCCCGGCGACCUACAGCAUCGGAACCAUGGCUAGCCUCUGCCGAGGAGGGUGCAGCCGCUUCACCCCCUACUAGCAAGAGGGCCAGCCCCUAGCAGCAUUCACACUGACUGCCCAGUACACACCACACCCAGCAGCCCAAAACCAGGCACAGCCACCGGGAGGACAGUGCGCCUCCCAGGCAGCGGCACGCGACGCUAAAGUCCAUAGGUUUACCUCCAGCCAGCCGGUGCCCCUGCCCCUCACCAUGGCGUGUGUGUCUUUGACCUUGGUUACCCCUGUAUGUCUGAAACCUUGCUUCCUAUUUUGACUAUGUUGACGUUGUGACCCCCCCAAGCCAUUUCAGGUACAGUAUGCACAUAGCGGGAGGGGCCAGGCUGGGGACGAGGACCCGCACCCCCAGCCCCAGAACUAGCAAUAGAGCCCGCCAGGGCGACACCCACUUCCCAUCAUCCCCUGGGUCUGCAGAGCCAAGGAGACCGCCCCCAGCCUGCCGGGACCCCUCUUCUGGGGUUCAGGGAGGGAGGAAGCGCUCCCGUCCUCUGGA